Molecule: ribosomal RNA, 506 nt
Filed under: uncultured soil bacterium
Lineage: Bacteria
Description: bacterial SSU rRNA
Rfam family: Bacterial small subunit ribosomal RNA
Source: RNAcentral
AGAGUUUGAUCCUGGCUCAGGAUGAACGCUGGCGGCGUGCCUAAUACAUGCAAGUCGAACGAGGUGCUUUUGUAGCAAUACGAGAGUAUCCUAGUGGCGAACGGGUGAGUAACGCGUUGGUGACCUACCCCAAAGUGUGGAAUAACAGUCCGAAAGGAUUGCUAAUACCGCAUGUGGUUAUCGGGUUUAGAAACCGAUAACUAAAGGAGCAAUUCGCUUUGGGAGGGACCUGCGUCCCAUCAGCUAGUUGGUGAGGUAAUGGCUCACCAAGGCUACGACGGGUAGGGGACCUGAGAGGGUGACCCCCCACAAUGGAACUGAAACACGGUCCAUACACCUACGGGUGGCAGCAGUAGGGAAUAUUGCACAAUGGGCGAAAGCCUGAUGCAGCAACGCCGCGUGUGCGAUGAAGGCCUUCGGGUCGUAAAGCACUUUUCUGAGAGAUGAGAAAGGACAGUAUCUCAGGAAUAAGUCUCGGCUAACUACGUGCCAGCAGCCGCGGUAAU